AUAGCUGCGGGUGGCUGUGCUGGUGGCGUUCAAGAUGUCGACCAAGAAUUUCCGAGUCAGUGACGGGGACUGGAUUUGCCCUGACAAAAAAUGUGGAAAUGUAAACUUUGCUAGAAGAACCAGCUGUAAUCGAUGUGGUCGGGAGAAAACAACUGAGGCCAAGAUGAUGAAAGCUGGGGGCACUGAAAUAGGAAAGACACUUGCAGAAAAGAGCCGAGGCCUAUUUAGUGCUAAUGACUGGCAAUGUAAAACUUGCAGCAAUGUGAAUUGGGCCAGAAGAUCAGAGUGUAAUAUGUGUAAUACUCCAAAGUAUGCUAAAUUAGAAGAAAGAACAGGAUAUGGUGGUGGUUUUAAUGAAAGAGAAAAUGUUGAAUAUAUAGAAAGAGAAGAAUCUGAUGGUGAAUAUGAUGAGUUUGGACGUAAAAAGAAGAAAUACAGAGGGAAAGCAGUUGGUCCUGCAUCUAUAUUAAAGGAAGUUGAAGAUAAAGAAUCAGAGGGAGAAGAAGAGGAUGAGGAUGAAGAUCUUUCUAAAUACAAAUUAGAUGAGGAUGAGGAUGAGGAUGAAGAUGAUGCUGAUCUCUCAAAAUAUAAUCUUGAUGCCAGUGAAGAAGAAGAUAGUAAUAAAAAGAAAUCUAAUAGACGAAGUCGCUCAAAGUCUCGAUCUUCACAUUCACGAUCUUCAUCACGCUCAUCCUCCCCCUCAAGUUCAAGGUCUAGGUCCAGGUCCCGUUCAAGAAGUUCUUCCAGUUCGCAGUCAAGAUCUCGUUCCAGUUCCAGAGAACGUUCGAGAUCUCGUGGGUCGAAAUCAAGAUCCAGCUCCAGGUCCCACAGGGGCUCUUCUUCCCCACGAAAAAGAUCUUACUCAAGUUCAUCAUCUUCUCCUGAGAGGAACAGAAAGAGAAGUCGUUCUAGAUCUUCUUCAUCUGGUGAUCGCAAAAAAAAGACGAACAAGAUCACGGUCACCCGAAAGACGCCACAGGUCAUCUUCUGGAUCAUCCCAUUCUGGUUCCCGUUCAAGUUCAAAAAAGAAAUAAUGUAUUAAAAUUUACAUCUUAAAAAAAUCCAGUUCAGUGCAUGAAGCAUAUUUUUAAAGAAGUUGGUGUCUUACUUGGUCAGAAGUGCUAAAUCUGCUAGUAGAGGUGCAUGCCUUUCAUUGCUUUUCAAAACAAUACAGCUGUGUUUAUUUGUGAAGUUAAAAGUAAAUAGCAUUUUAAGCCAUAAUGUCCCAAAAUAGAUGCUCUGUCAUUCAUUAUUACAACCAUUUGCUUCAUUUAAAACCACUUCAGCUGUAACAAAGUACUUUGCUUCCUAAUUUAAACCCAUUUUUCUCAUUUUCAAAUACAUCCUGUCCAUUGGCUAAGACAGGAUUACUUAGGCUUUCCUGAACUUUGGGUUUGGAGGCAAGACUGGAAACUAGUUGGAAACAACAUACUUGUGGAAAAGACAGUCAACCUGUUUAUGCUGUUAACAGAUGUCAAAGUGAUUCUCAUAAAAAAAAAGUUAAACUAUAUUGUAAGCAGCCAACUGUAAAUGUCUUUGAAAUUCCCUCUGCUAAGGGUGCCUUAGAAUCAUUGUGUCUCUUUUAUCCAGCUUUACUUUUUUGCUCCACAUUUAAUGCGAAAGAAUCUUGUGACAUCUACAAGGAGAGAAGUGGGAUUUAUUUUCCUUUUUGACACACAAUUUGGGACAAAAAAGAAAGUCUUAAGAGUCUAUCUCUUCUCUAUUGAUAUGGUUGCUUGAUAAAGACAUCUCAAAAUGUUUACCAAUGUUUUAAGAAGCUUUGUGUGAUAUUCUUCAAAAUCUAGUUACCAAAUAUGAUAUGGUAGAAAAGGCUAAAUCAUAGUCAAUGAGCAAAUUGAAGUAAGCUUUUAAAGUAUAUUUCUCUUUUGGUGAAAGGCCAGUGGAGACAUUGUGAAUUUAAGUGAACAUUUGCCUCAAGAUGUUAACUAUAAACAUACUGCAUACAAUUUUCUUCUGAAUAACAAGUGAAUGCUUAUCUCUACAUGAUGUAAGCAAAAAUCAUUAUUUUUCCUAUUCAUUUGAAGUAAGUUAUGGCUUAAAAUGCUUUCGGAGUUCAUUUCUCAAAAUUAAAAUCUGGUCACGUGAGCUUCAGUUUGUUUUCUGGUUUAAAAAAUAAAAAGGUUUCUCUUAACAGUAUUUCCAGUGACAAUGCAAGGUAAGUAUAUCAAAGAAAAUCAACAGUUGUGCUUGGGGGCUUUUUGUUAUGGGAUAUUGAUUUCUUUUCCUUGUUUUUUUUCCAUAACAUUGUCUGCUGCAAUUUAAAUAAAAAAUUACGACAUUUUAAGAUAUUUCGUAGACAGACCAAACAAAAAUAUAUGUUUUUAUUUUAAAAUGAAUGUUUUUCUCUUCAGCUGAUCUAAAAAUGAAAGCAAAAUAUCUAAUGUAGAAAUAUUUUGAUAAUAUUUUUACAGUGAGCUUUCCCAUGUUUGUAUGUCUUAAUUUUCUUUGCUGCGUUUAUGUAGGUUGCACAAGAACUUUUACUCACUUGUAAUUGUGCCUCAGACUUUUUGAAAGUCUACCUUCUAAAUUACCCAGAUGAUCUAGAUUCUACAUGUUACCAUUGGUUUAUUCUUGUGCUUUCUGUAUUUAAAACUUUGGCUGUACUAAGCAAAUGCAAGGUUAUAAUUUAGCUAAUAGUAGUUUACAGACAAUUCUGAUGAUUAUGAUUUCAUUUGGUUUAACUAAACUGUACUAGUUCAUUUCAUAAGGAAAUGAUACUGUAGACAAAUGUAAAUAAAGCCUGUGAGUCAAGCAUCAAGUGGUGUUUGUUAGAAAUAAACUAGAGAUUUUUAAACUCU
RNA transcript from Rhinopithecus roxellana (golden snub-nosed monkey), 2819 nucleotides. It is a transcript of the gene named zinc finger Ran-binding domain-containing protein 2 pseudogene, with no coding region annotated. The transcript has a single exon. NCBI's taxonomy places the organism in Eukaryota, Metazoa, Chordata, Mammalia, Primates, Cercopithecidae. The record is from RefSeq and is a predicted model, not a curated record.